GAAAGUUUUAUGCAAAAAUAUAUGUAGUUGUGUCAUUGGUUAAGCAUUAGAAUAGGUUUAUUCUCAACAAUUAAAAAAGUGAACUAAACAAGCAAAAUUUUAGCAGUCCGGAUAAGAAAUAAGAAUACAAUUUUUCAAACAAAAUGUUUCAGAAAUCAGAAAAAAAAAAUUUUCGAAUCAAUUUUAACUACUUCCCAAUAACAUUUAUAAUCUUUCAGAUUGGAACUUGCAUCCUUUCAUGCAUUUUUAUUUCUCUGUUACUCUUUUCAAUCAAUGGAGUUACUUAUAUUGGGAGCGCCGACAUGGAAACAUCCACGAAUAACCAAUCAAAAAACGAAAAACCAUUUUGCAUCAAUAAUUUACUCGACAAAACUAAAUAUAAUUUCGAAAAAUGG
Daphnia pulicaria is the source of this 395-nucleotide long non-coding RNA. RefSeq lists it as uncharacterized. The record is from RefSeq and is a predicted model, not a curated record. Lineage: Eukaryota; Metazoa; Arthropoda; Branchiopoda; Diplostraca; Daphniidae. The transcript is spliced from 3 exons.